GUUGUGGGAUGUAAUAAUGAACAUAGUAGUUUUCACUUACUUCCGACAUCAGAGCCACUGAAAACGCAGUGGAUGGAUUUUAUUUACGAAGGAAAGGCGCCACUCAAAAUUCCAAAAUACGUUUAUGUUUGCGCGAAUCAUUUUUUGACUGACUGUUUUCAGAACGAAGGUCAAUUCAAAGCAGGUCUUGCUUCAAAGUUAAUCCUCAAGUGUGGAUCGUUGCCUACUGUUCGCGAUCCAGCGUCACCUCCAGAAGAAGCCAGCACAUCGACACGAAGCUGUAGAACGAGGGAUAUUGGCGUGCAGACAGAAACAUCAAAGCUAUGCAGUGUUGGUACACAACUGUCAAUGAGGACGCUUCAAACACACCACAGGAGUAUCAGUGUCCAGACAGAGACAACAUUGUCAAGUUUUGAUGUAAGCACAAAAUUAGUUUCUCAUACAGCUGUUGCGUCUUCCACGCCCCUCAAGACUUCAUCAAAGAGACCUUGUC
Carassius carassius (crucian carp) is the source of this 493-nucleotide long non-coding RNA. RefSeq lists it as uncharacterized. The record is from RefSeq and is a predicted model, not a curated record. Lineage: Eukaryota; Metazoa; Chordata; Actinopteri; Cypriniformes; Cyprinidae. The transcript is spliced from 3 exons.